This 465-nucleotide ribosomal RNA is filed under the name uncultured bacterium. Its description in RNAcentral is "partial 16S ribosomal RNA". It matches the Rfam family "Bacterial small subunit ribosomal RNA", at positions 338 to 795 of the family's 1533-position model. The record is from RNAcentral.
CCUACGGGAGGCAGCAGUAGGGAAUCUUCCACAAUGGACGAAAGUCUGAUGGAGCAACGCCGCGUGAGUGAAGAAGGGUUUCGGCUCGUAAAGCUCUGUUGGUAGUGAAGAAAGAUAGAGGUAGUAACUGGCCUUUAGUUGACGGUAAUUACUGAGAAAGUCACGGCUAACUACGUGCCAGCAGCCGCGGUAAUACGUAGGUGGCAAGCGUUGUCCGGAUUUAUUGGGCGUAAAGCGAGUGCAGGCGGUUCAAUAAGUCUGAUGUGAAAGCCUUCGGCUCAACCGGAGAAUUGCAUCAGAAACUGUUGAACUUGCGUGCAGAAGAGGCGAGUUGCACUCCAUGUGUAGCGGUGGCAUUCGUAGAUAUAUGGAAGAACCCCAGUGGCGAAGGCGGCUCUCUGGUCUGCAACUGACGCUGAGGCUCGAAAGCCUGGGUAGCGAACAGGAUUAGCUACCCUGGUAGUC